RNAcentral lists this ribosomal RNA (774 nucleotides) under uncultured Neocallimastigales. RNAcentral's name for it is "partial large subunit ribosomal RNA". It matches the Rfam family "Eukaryotic large subunit ribosomal RNA", at positions 18 to 644 of the family's 3401-position model. The record is from RNAcentral. Lineage: Eukaryota; Fungi; Neocallimastigomycota; Neocallimastigomycetes; Neocallimastigales.
UCAGACGAUGCGUCAUGCAUAUCAAUAAGCGGAGGAAAAGAAACUAACAAGGAUUCCCCUAGUAACGGCGAGUGAAGCGGGAAGAGCUCAAAUUUGAAAUCUUAAAGGGUUUCCCUUUACGAAUUGUAGUUUAAAGAAGUGUUUUCUGUUGAGGUUUUGGUAAAAGUUCUUUGGAAUAGGACAUCAUAGAGGGUGAGAAUCCCGUAUUUGACCUUUACUUUCAACUUUGUGAUACACUUUCAAAGAGUCGGAUUGUUUGGGAAUGCAGUCCAAAAUGGGUGGUAAAUUUCAUCUAAAGCUAAAUAUUGGCGAGAGACCGAUAGCGAACAAGUACCGUGAGGGAAAGAUGAAAAGAACUUUGAAAAGAGAGUUAAACAGUACGUGAAAUUGUCAAAAGGGAAGCGUUUGACACCAGUGUUGUUUUUCUGAAAAUCAAUUAAAGAACUGUUUAUGCUAAGUUGUUUAGACUUUAUCAGCUAACUGUUUAGUUUUGAGCUUUUCUUUAAUGCACUUUUCAGUUAACAAGUCAACAUCAAUUUCUUUUGCUGUAAAAAAGCUUGAGGAAGGUGGCUUGAGAUUCGUCUUAAGUGUUUAUAGCCUCUUGCCUAUGCAGUCGGAGAGAUUGAGGUCUGCAGCGUAGAUCCUUCGGGGCUAAGUGCAUUUGUGCUAAGUUAUAGCAUUUUAUAGACAACUUGUUGACUAUGAUUUGUCUUGUAGCUUACUCGCUUAUGUUAUUUUACCUACGCUUAGGAUGUUGAAUCUGUGCGAGACUAC